AUGCAUAGGAAUCUGCCCAGUAGCGGGGGAUAACCCGGGGAAACUCGGGCUAAUACCGCAUACGCCCUGCGGGGGAAAGUGGGGGAUCUUCGGACCUCACACUAUUGGAUGAGCCUAUGUCGGAUUAGCUUGUUGGUGGGGUAAUGGCCCACCAAGGCGACGAUCUGUAGCUGGUCUGAGAGGACGACCAGCCACACUGGGACUGAGACACGGCCCAGACUCCUACGGGAGGCAGCAGUGGGGAAUAUUGGACAAUGGGGGCAACCCUGAUCCAGCAAUGCCGCGUGUGUGAAGAAGGCCUGCGGGUUGUAAAGCACUUUCAGCAGGGAAGAAAAGCUUGGCGUUAAUACCGCCAAGUCUUGACGGUACCAGCAGAAUAAGCACCGGCAAACUCUGUGCCAGCAGCCGCGGUAAUACAGAGGGUGCAAGCGUUAAUCGGAUUUACUGGGCGUAAAGGGCGCGUAGGCGGCCAAAUGAGUGUGAUGUGAAAGCCCUGGGCUUAACCUAGGAAGUGCAUCGCAAACGAUUUGGCUGGAGUACAUGAGAGGGUGGCGGAAUUUCCGGUGUAGCGGUGAAAUGCGUAGAGAUCGGAAGGAACGUCGAUGGCGAAGGCAGCCACCUGGCAUGAUACUGACGCUGAGGCGCGAAAGCGUGGGGAGCGAACAGGAUUAGAUACCCUGGUAGUCCACGCUGUAAACGAUGUGAACUAAAUGUUGGUAGGGGAACCUAUCAGUAUUGAAGCUAACGCGAUAAGUUCACCGCCUGGGAAGUACAGCCGCAAGGUUGAAACUCAAAGGAAUUGACNGGGGCCCGCACAAGCGGUGGAGCAUGUGGUUUAUUCGAUGCAACGCGNANAANCCUUACCUACUCUUGACAUCCUG
RNAcentral lists this ribosomal RNA (881 nucleotides) under marine bacterium enrichment culture clone I05-E3-S5. Its description in RNAcentral is "bacterial SSU rRNA". It matches the Rfam family "Bacterial small subunit ribosomal RNA", at positions 113 to 991 of the family's 1533-position model. The record is from RNAcentral.